RNAcentral lists this long non-coding RNA (15475 nucleotides) under Lactuca sativa (garden lettuce). Its description in RNAcentral is "long non-coding RNA (LSAT_LNC010078)". The record is from RNAcentral. Lineage: Eukaryota; Viridiplantae; Streptophyta; Magnoliopsida; Asterales; Asteraceae.
GGCCUGGAAAGGCGUAUGUGCGUAAGUUGUAUAUUGGGGAACUCACUAAGCAUUUAUGCUUACAGUUGUUGUGCAUGUAUUUCAGGUACUAGUGAGGACCGUGGGAAGGCGCCGGCAUGAUCGAUACACACUGAAGAUUGUCUUUAUGAUCUUGGGAUUUUGAAUAAAUGUAUUUGACAGAAUACUUAACUACUUAUGCCUUGUUUUAAAUGGAAUUAAUUAUGUUUUAAAAAUGAAAAAUUUGUUUGAAAAAUUUGAGUUGUUACAAUUGGUAUCAGAGCCUUGGUUUGAGGGAUUCGGGUGCACCUUCGGGGGUAACUGAACUCAAACCGAGGAUUUGAGGAAACUUUUCAAAUAAAGGCAUAAACUUUUGUAAAUGGUUUUGUGGUAAGCAAGAAAGAAGCAGUGUGUACGAUCAGUCAGCGCCCGAACGGUAAAGAUCCCCAAAAUACCUUACAAUAUUAUAUGAUAUGAAUUGUUAUGCAUGCUAGAAGACUAGGUAUUCAUGAUAGGACUAGAGUGGCCUGAUUUGUGAUGCCUUAGUCUAGGGAAGUUGCCUAUAUGAGAUGCUUUGCUAGUAUGCGGGUAGAUAGAGCGUAUCAGAAGUAGAGUACUCACUAUCCGGAGUUUGGGGAGGAGGACUUGGGAUGAACAUUGAUGCGGUGUGGUCGGUAGUAUUGGGCCCGUACUACCGAGGACACCGGGUCAGUGGGAGGCCCAAGUAAGAAUCCCUGGAUAUCUGGGACUGAGUAGGGUUGCGUGUCGAGUACGAUUAUACUCGGUAGAAUCUCUGAUAGUUUUAUGUUGUAUUUCAGAGAUAUCAUGGUUAGACCGCGGCACGGGGCAAGUACGAGCGGUGUGAGUGACGAGGAUAUUCGUCAGAUGAUCCACGAGGAGGUGGCGGCGGCGAUCCGGGCUGAGAUCCCGGAGAUGUUUGGGUCUAUCAAGACCACCCUGAUGGAGACGUUCGACGAGCGGUACGCCGCAUUGACUGAGGCUGCAACCGCUGCAGCUACCGCAGCUGUGGCCGCUGCUAGGCCACAGGGGGGUGAUUCAUUGCUGUUCCGAGAGUUCAGCAACACGAAGCCACCAGAGUUCGAUGGGACGCAGGAUCCGAUUGCUGCGAUGAGGUGGAUCGCAGAUAUAGAGGGGUGCUUCUACACUUGUUCAUGCCCGGAGCACCUGAGGGUACGGUUCGCUUUGAACCAGCUCCGUCUGGGAGCAAAGGACUGGUGGAAGUUCGUGACGGCGAACUUCACUUUGGCAGAGACUGCGGCAGUGACAUGGGAGGGGUUCACUACCAUGUUCAGGGAGGAGUACGUUCCCCCGGUGGAGCGGGAACGAUUGGUUCAGGAGUUCUUAACCCUCAAGCAGGGUACUGAUUCGGUGGCGGCGAUCACGCGGAAGUUCCAUGAGAGGGCGAUGUUUUGCCCCGAGCUGGUGGCCACAGAGCAGGCUCGGAUGAGCCGGUACUUGGGUGUUCUGAGGAGGGAGAUCCGGGAGUUUGUGUCAAACUCCACUUACCAUACUUUUACUGAGCUUCAGGCGAAUGCCAGGAAGCGUGAGAUCGAGUUAGAGACUCAGGCCAGGGAGGAGGCCGAGUCUCAGCAGGCAGACCGGCGGCCGGCUCAGUCUCAGCCGGCAGCCAAGCGGAUCAAGUCCGCCGAUUCGAGGACGGGAGGUUCGAAGAACCGCACUUGCGUAAAGUGCGGUAAGGGUCACGAUGGGGCGUGUCGAGCCGGUGCUUGCUACAAGUGUGGCAAGGAGGGACACAUUGCUAGGGAGUGUCCCAAGGGAUUUAUGGUUUGCUUUCAUUGCAACCAGACCGGCCAUCGGAAGGCCGAGUGCCCUCAGCUUCGUCAGGGAUCUGCACCUGUUGCCAGGACUACUGAGACUCGACCGGUGAAGGUCGAGGCCCCGAGGGCUCGUGGGAGAGCCUUUCAGCUGACUGCGGAGGAGGUCCGCGCUGCGCCCGAUGUUGUGGCAGGUAUGUUGUAAUUCAUGUAUUUAUUUUAAUGUCAAGAUGUUAUGCUUAUGUUAUUAUAUGCGUAGGUACUUUCCUUGUGAACUCUGUGCCUGCCUUAGUGUUAUUUGACUCGGGUGCGAGUAGGUCCUUUGUGUCCUUAGCCUUUAGUCAGCAUAUCGGCGUUAGUCGUGAGUCGUUGAGUCGACCUUUGAGAGUUUCUAUAGCUGACGAGAAGGUGAUUUGUGCUACGGAGGUUCUUCGGGGAUGUGUACUAGAGAUUUUCGGGGUUGGAUUCCCGAUUGAUCUGAUUCCUAUCGCGAUGGGGGAUGUCUGUGUCAUCGUGGGCAUGGACUGGCUGAGCCGGUUCGGCGCUGUCAUCGACUGUGAGCGUCAGUUGGUGACUAUACGAGACCCUAGAGGGGGAGUUCUUUCGGUAUACGGCGAGGGUACCCGUUCGGGAUCAGCUUUUUGUUCGGCCGCUAGGGCGAGGCAGUGUCUACGGCAGGGCUGUAAAGGUUUUGUGGCGUAUGUGAUGGAUACGCGGGAGGUUUCCGAGAAACCGAAGUCAGUUGAGGAAGUUCCGGUGGUGCGCGAAUUUUCAGAUGUCUUUCCCGAGGAGUUGCCGGGAGUACCGCCUGUGAGGCAAGUAGAGUUUAGUAUUGAUCUGGUUCCGGGGGCAGCACCUAUUGCUAAAGUGCCCUAUCGUCUUGCACCUCCAGAGAUGCAAGAGUUGUCCUCGCAACUCCAGGAGUUGCUGGGGAAGGGAUUCAUUCGGCCGAGCAGCUCGCCAUGGGGAGCACCUAUUCUGUUCGUCAAGAAGAAGGAUGGUUCACACCGGAUGUGCAUUGAUUACCGGGAGUUGAACAAGCUAACGGUCAAGAACCGUUACCCGUUGCCGAGGAUCGAUGAUUUAUUCGAUCAGUUGCAGGGAGCAUCUUGGUUUUCCAAGAUCGAUCUGAGGUCAGGAUACCAUCAGGUGAGAGUACGGGAUGAAGACGUCCAGAAGACAGCGUUUAGGACGCGAUAUGGACAUUAUGAGUUUGUGGUGAUGCCUUUUGGACUCACCAAUGCCCCGGCUGUGUUCAUGGAUCUCAUGAACAGGGUAUGCAGGCCGAUGUUGGAUCGGUCAGUGAUCGUAUUUAUCGACGACAUUCUGGUGUAUUCGAGAUCGAGAGAGCAGCAUGAGGAGCAUUUGAGGGAGGUCCUUGAGGUAUUGAGGUCGGAGAAACUUUAUGCAAAGUUCUCCAAAUGUGACUUCUGGUUGCGGGAGGUCCAGUUUCUAGGACAUGUGGUUAAUCAGAAAGGGAUAUUGGUCGAUCCGGCCAAGGUUGAGGCGGUGAUGAGUUGGGAGGUGCCGAAGUCACCCUCUGAGAUCAGAAGUUUCCUUGGGUUGGCAGGGUAUUAUCGGAGAUUUAUCAAGGAUUUCUCCAAGAUCGCAGUGCCACUCACCAGAUUGACCCGGAAGGGUGUUACGUUCUCAUGGGGGCCCGAGCAGCAGACCUCCUUUGAGACACUUCGCCAGAGAUUGUGCGAAGCCCCGGUAUUAGCUCUCCCAGAAGGGAUGGAAGAUUUCGUGGUAUAUUGCGACGCAUCGAUUUCGGGAUUGGGUGCAGUGUUGAUGCAGAGGGGUCAUGUGAUAGCUUAUGCGUCGAGGCAGCUGAAGCCUCAUGAGGCGAGAUAUCCCACGCAUGAUUUAGAGUUGGGGGCAGUAGUGUUCGCUCUCAAGAUUUGGCGUCACUACUUGUAUGGGGUUCGAUGUACGAUAUACACGGACCAUAAGAGUUUGAAGUAUUUGAUGGAUCAACCCAACCUAAAUAUGCGUCAGAGGAGGUGGUUGGAUGUGGUCAAGGAUUAUGAUUGUGAGAUCCUGUACCACCCAGGCAAGGCUAAUGUGGUAGCCGAUGCAUUGAGUCGCAGGGCGGAGAGCACUCCAUUGCGAGACGUAUGCUUGAGACUGACUGUGAUGACUCCAGUAUUGGACGCUAUUCGUGGGGCCCAGGCAGAGGCUGUGCGACCAGAAAUGCAGAAGAAAGAGCGGGUUGUGGGGUUAAUCUCAGAGUUUGUCAAGGAUAGUCGAGGCCUUAUGACGUUUCAGGGUCGGAUUUGGGUACCGUUCGUGGGCGGUACGCGUAUUACGUUGAUGGAAGAGGCUCAUAGAUCGAAAUUCUCGAUCCAUCCCGGUGCUACAAAGAUGUAUUUGGAUUUAAGGAAGGAAUAUUGGUGGCCCUGUAUGAAGAGGGACGUGGCAUGGUUCGUUGAGAGGUGCUUGACCUGCCGUAGGGUUAAGGCUGAGCACCAGAGACCGCAUGGCAAGUUACAGCCAUUGGAGAUCCCCGAGUGGAAGUGGGAACAGAUCACUAUGGAUUUUAUCACCAAAUUGCCGAGGACUGCUAGGGGAGUUGACGCAAUUUGGGUGAUCGUGGAUAGGUUGACAAAGAGUGCACACUUCCUUGCCAUCAGUGAGAGUUCUUCGGCGGAGAAAUUGGCGGAGAUAUACGUGAGAGAGGUGGUAUCUCGGCACGGGGUGCCGAUCUCGAUUGUGUCAGACCGUGAUGUGCGCUUUACUUCCAGAUUCUGGAAGAAAUUCCAUGAGGAGCUGGGUACUAAAUUGCAUUUUAGUACCGCAUACCAUCCCCAGACAGACGGUCAGAGCGAGCGGACGAUUCAGACGCUGGAGGACAUGCUCCGAGCGUGUGUGUUAGACUUCGGGGGUAGUUGGGAUGCGUAUUUACCAUUGGCAGAGUUUUCCUACAACAACAGCCAUCAUUCGAGCAUUGGUAUGCCACCUUUCGAGCUGUUGUAUGGUAGGAGGUGUCGGACCCCCAUUUGCUGGGGAGAGGUGGGACAGAGAGUGAUGGGCAGCACGGAGAUCGUGCUCCAGACGACAGAGCAGAUUCAGCGAGUGAGACAAAGGUUAUUGACUGCCCAGAGCCGACAGAAGAGUUAUGCAGACAGGCGCCGAUCCGAGCUUGAAUUUCAGGUCGGCGACUUCGUUCUCCUGAAGGUCUCUCCUUGGAAAGGAGUGAUUCGAUUCAGGAAGAGGGGCAAGUUGGGGCCCCGGUAUAUUGGGCCAUUUCGUGUGAUUGCAAGGAUAGGCCGGGUAGCCUAUCGGUUGGAGUUGCCAGCGGAGUUGGGUCAGAUCCAUGACACUUUUCAUGUGUCGCAGUUGAGGAAGUGCAUAGCCGAUGAGUCGGCAGUGGUUCCAUUGGAGGAUAUUCAGGUGGAUGCGAGCCUGAAUUACGCGGAGAGACCAGUGGCUAUCAGGGAUCGGAAGAUCAAGGUUCUGAGGAACAAGGAGGUACCUCUGGUGUUGGUUCAAUGGCAACACCGUAAGGGAUCGGAAAUGACUUGGGAACCGGAACGCGAGAUGCGGGAGCAGCAUCCGGAACUAUUUGCAGAGUGAGACUUCGAGGGCGAAGUCUAAUCCAAGUGGGGGAGAGUUGUAACAGCCCGAAAUCUCAGGUAUUGUUUAAUUAUGUUUUUGGGGUGAGUUGAGAGGGGACUCGGCGAGUUGGAGCCUAGACUCGCCGAGUAGGAUCGCAGACUUGGUCGCGGGUCCGCGACUGGACUCGACGAGUCCAGGUAUGGACUCGGCGAGGCGACGCUGUUCAGCAGAAACCCUAACCGUUCAGUUUGGAUCGUAUUUAACGCCUCUUAGGCCGUCAUUUUCAGUCUUUUGGUCAAUUGAGAGGAACCCUAAUCGCUGUGGACGCCUAGAGCAAGGGAGAAAGCUUUGGAACUUGGAAGAAUUGGUUAGGCAAGAAGAAGAGGGAUUUGGCUAAAGGAAUAUCAAGGAGGAUUGAGUCCUGAGAUUUGGGGGACACAGAGAGUGCGUUUUCAGGUAAUACUCGGACCAAAUCUGUUAUUUUGAUGUAUUUAUGAAAUUAGGGUUUAUAGAACCCAUUUAGUGAUUUGAUGAAGUAAUGCCUUGUUACCCCACGAUUAUAGUCUUGUAUUAGGACCUUUAGAGGUCCAGAAGGUCCCAUGCAUGUGUACUUCGGGACGAGACCUAUCUCAGGAAGCAGUUACUCGUCUGCAUGGCAUGGACUCGCCGAGUUGUUCUUCAGACUCGGCGAGUAGCUUGAAGAUUUACUGGGACUCGCCGAGUUGUUCAUCAGACUCGGCGAGUGGAGUCGGGGUGGCCCCGCGAUUCUUCCACGAGGACCUCGUCGAGUCAAGAGGGAUACUCGACGAGUAGAAAGGGAAUAUUCAGGAAUUUGUGAGGACGACUAGACUCGCCGAGUCGCCAUGGUACUCGCCGAGUCCAGUCGAGUUGACCGUUGACCGUUGACCAGAGUUGACCUAAGUCUGACUUCUUAGGGAUAGUCACACUUAGAUGAUAUGAGUGCUAAUGAGUUAUGUAAUGUUAUAGGAGGGUUGUAGCUCGUUGGUUUGUGCACGAGUGAUUUCAGGAGUUGCUAGCUUUCAGCAUUUACGAGGUGAGUCUUCUCACUAUACUGUACCCGGAAGGGUUUGACUGUGUGACCGGAAGGUCGGAUAUGAUAUGUGAUAUGUAUGCUAUAUGUGGUAUGUUAUAUGUUAUAUGUGCUAUGUAUGUUAUGGGCCGGAAGGCGAUUAUGUUAUGGGCCGGAAGGCGAUAUGAUGUGUGAUGGACCGGAAGGUCGGCGUGGGUAAGGCCGGAAGGUUUACCCAGCAGGGACGGAAGUCCCCUGAGACACAUGGACCGGAAGGUCGGGCCUGGAAAGGCGUAUGUGCGUAAGUUGUAUAUUGGGGAACUCACUAAGCAUUUAUGCUUACAGUUGUUGUGCAUGUAUUUCAGGUACUAGUGAGGACCGUGGGAAGGCGCCGGCAUGAUCAAUACACACUGAAGAUUGUUUUAUGAUCUUGGGAGUUUGAAUAAUUGUAUUGACCGAAUAAUUGAACUGUUUAUGCCUUGUUUUUAAUGGAAAUAAUUAUGUUUUAAAAAUGAAAAAUUUGUUUGAAAAAUUUGAGUUGUUACAACAUUCCACAUAGUUACGCAAGUGGAGGAUCGUUUUUGUAAGUAGAAUUUAUAUAGGACUUAUCCGCAUUAUUACUUGUAGAUUUGUUAUUCCUAUAAAUUGGAGACACGUCCUCGGUGAACACUCCACAGAGAUACGCGAGUGGAGGACCGUCCCCGUAACCAGAAUCUCUUAGAUAGGGAGCGUGACUUGAGUGUAUAGAUCUAUACGGGGCUGACUACCCCGCACCUGGCUGCUAGCUAUAGCCGAACCGAAAGGUUCAAGGGUGAUGAAAGUCAUAAAAUGAUUUGGACUGCUUAUUGCCAUAUCUAGUCUAUCGUAUGGAUAUGGAACUCGCAAUUUGGAUAACAGAAAUUUACUUGUUAGUUAUAAUGAAUAUAGUAAAUUAAUAACCUUUGAAAUUAGUUUACUAUGUUGAUAGUUUUAUAUAUGUUUUAAAACUAACAUACACUUCACAAGGAUAACUAGAUUUUCAGUAUACAUCGUUUACAUUGCAUUUCGGAUUGGUAAGCAACUUUUUAGGAAAAUAUAGGAUUCUCCUGGGGAAACGUUUGUACAUAACCAGAUUUGUGUAACAAUUCAGAUAACUAAACUUUACAAUUCACAAGGACAAUCAUGUUUUCAGAGUACGCCUUUUACAUUACAUUUUGGAUUUGAUAACCAACUAUUAAGAAAAUAUGGGAUUUUCUUGGAUAACCACUUUUUCAGAAAACUAAAGGAACCUUGUUCAUUUUCAUAAAACAAACCUCUUAUGAACUCACCAACUUUAUGCUGAUUUUUAAACUACUUGUAUUCUCAGGUUCUCCUUAGACAGGUAUUCCCGCUUUCUUUUGCAGAAGACGGAGUGUAUGGAGUCACGUCUUUCUUUUGUUUAACUUAUGUAUCUAUGAAACUUGUAUCACUUUACUUUUGAACAAAUGUAAUGAAAACUAUGUAAUGUAAUGUUUUGUGUUUUACUUCGCUUACUAUGUACAUUGGUUAUGAUAUUCAACAUGAAGCCACCUCCGCCCCGGAAUGUUUUCGCCCUGGGUUUCGGGGUGUGACAGAUUGGUAUCAGAGCCUUUGUUUAUAGUAAACUAAGUAUACCAAACUUUACAUGGUAUAAGACUAUAAACAUUAAAGGGCCUAAGUGCUCUGAACUAAAAGUAUACCUCGAAAUAUAAGUAUUUUCAAAAGUAUACAAGUAUACCUAACCGUCGAGAAUCAUAACUAUAAGUAGAACAAAACAUAAGUAAAUGGGUGUUGUACGCUGCAGUUAAACCUGGGCAGUUAUGUAGUCGUGUCUAGGAUCAAUAUAGCCUGAUCAACUAUAUUCAUUCGAGACACGACGAACAUGUGCUUGGGAGUGACUGUGGUAUGCGGCAUACCUAAAACUUACCCAAAUACACCAAACAUCGAGCCGUCAUCUCAACGAGUCAUGAAAUACUAUGGGGGUAUUUCUAGAUCCAAUUUUUGUUGUAGAAAAUUCUCGUUCAAGCGUUGCCCCUCGAUCAUUCCUUUAGCGAUAGAUUAUUUGCUUUGAUAAUUCAUUCUUGCUUUCUCGCUUAAUAGAAUUAUAUGUUUGUCAUAAAGAGAUAUCCCUUGUUUCAUAUCUCUUGAUUUAAUUCAGAGGAUUUACCAUCCUCUUUUCCUAAUCAUUUUAGAUCAAAAUGUCUUCAAAGAAAGGACCCAGUUCUAGGAACAACGACUCUCCGUCACCACCUCCUUCUCAAUUCGACCGUAGGAUGUUUCAGUUGGCUGUUUCAGCCGCAGUGGCGGUUACAAUGAAGGUAUUGUACCCUGACGAGUUCGAUGAACCAGGAUAUAACCUCUACCCCCAAAACCAUGAAGAUGAUCAAGGGCACCAGAACAAGAGUAAUCAGAGAAAGAAGAAGGUUUUCUGGAAAAAGCGAAAAGGUCAGAGUUCACAAGGACCCACCAAGAAGCUCAAAAUUGUGGUAGUCCAAAUUGCUACUAAUCCUGUCGUUGUUCCUAUAGUUCAAGCUACCACUACUCCUGUUGCUGCGUCUAUAGCUCUAGCACCUACCACUAGGUAUGUUGGUAAUCUCCCUUGGUGCAACAGGUGUAAUUAUCACCGUCGUAUUCCCGGCCCAUGUCGUGAGAAGGUUUGCAUCAGAUGUGGCAUGAAGGGCGACCUCGCUUGAAACUGCAAAACGUCAAUUCAAAUAAUCAAUCAAUCUUCCGGAUCGAGUACCGUACAAGCCUGUUAUAGUUGUAGAGAAAUCGGGCAUUUCAAGCGAAGCUGCCCAAAAGCAUCAACUAGCAACAACGUCAACAACACCGAGAUGGUUUUAGCUUUGAAGCAGGAGGAGGCAGCCACUGAUCCCACCAACGUCGUGGGUACAUUCCUUUUCGACAAUCCUUAUGCUCGUAUCCUUUUCGAAUUUGGUGUCAAUAAAGUGCUAUUAGUCAUUCAUUCAAAUAUCUUGUUAAACAUAAUCCUCGUCUAAUAAUCGAACCAUUUACCGUCAAAAUAGUUACCAGUGAGAAUGAGCGCACUAACGAUUUAUCCCUAAGUUGUAUCCUUACCUUGAGUAAUCUUUCUUUCCUCAUUGACCUAAUGCCAGUUUCAAUAAAGAGCUUUGAUGUUAUCUUUGGCAUGUAUCGAUUGAGUCUCGAUCGUGCUGAUAUGCUUUGUUAUGAAAAAGCUAUUCGUCUCAAUCUCCCCUCUGAUCAGAACCUCAUGACAUAUGGUGUCAAGCUUAGCUCAAAACUUCACAUCAUUCCCUACAUCAAAGCUCGAAAGUUUCUGCGAAAGGAGUGUCAGGUAUUCCUAGUUCAUGUAAUUAGCGAGAAGCAAGAAGAUAAAGACCCCGAGAGUGUCUCCGAAGACUGUAAUAUUCCUGAUAUCAUUUUGAAUAGAUCCCGAAAAAUUCCUCCUGAAUGCCAAGUUGAGUCUCGUAUCAACUUAAUCCCUGGAACUCCCCCCGUAGCCAAACCUCCGUAUCGUUUUGCUCUAGCAGAAAUGCAGGAGUUAUCCAGUCGGCUUAAUGAGUUGACCAUCAAAACCCAUAUCCUCUUUCCUUAAUUAGAUGACUUCUUCGAUAAUUUCUGGGAGCCAGCUACUUCUCGAAGAUAUACCUUAGGUCAAGACACCAUCAGCUACGAGUUCAUGAGAGUGAUGUUUCAAAGACAACAUUCAGGACUCGAUAUGAUCACUAAGAGUUCGUAUUGAUACCCUACGGUCAAACCAUUUUCCUUCGGUCAUGUAAUAGGCGAGGAAGACAUACGCGUGGAUCCUCCUAAGAACGAAACAAUAGAGAAUUGGUCGGCACCGAAGACACCCAUAGAAAACCUGUCAAUUCUUGGGUUUCGCCGACUAUUAUUGCAAACCCUUCCAGAAAAUUCUUCCAAAAUUAUCAAACCCUUAACCACUCUGACACAGAAAGGUGUACCCUUUUCAUUGGAGUGGAAAGCGAGAUACAUCAUUCCAAGCAAUGAAGUAAGACUUAUGCAUCACACCUAUCUUGUCCCUGCCAGAAGAGACAGACGACUUCAUUGUCCUUUGCAGUACACUCAAUCCGAGUUUAGACUAUGUAUUUAGACAACAAGACUAAGACAUUGACAAUGACCACCUGCCCCCGUUUACUCGCUCAGACCUGAGAAGCCUAGCCAGAAACCCUCGGGGCUGCUCCAGUAGCCUAGAUACCCGAAUGGGAAUGGUAAAUAACCAACAUGGAUUUCACCAUCACGUUACCCAGUUUUCCUGAACGUGUAUGAUACCAUUUGGGAAAAUUGUCGAUUCUUCGAUAAAAAUCCGCUCACUUCUCUCCGAUCAGAAAAUCAUUCAUGAUGAAAAUGCACACGCGAAACCACAUCCAAGAAGUAGUCCGACCGCAUAGUAUACAUACUUCCCUUAUCUUUGGUUGAGAUAACAGGAUUACCUCAAGAUUUAGGCAAGUCCCUUCAGAAAACUCACGGAACCAAGCUAGACACGGGUACAACUUAUCAUCCUCAGACAAAUGGACAGAGUGAGAAUGUAAUCCAGAUCAGGGAAAACAUACUAGGAGUAUGUGUCAUAAACUGCCGAGUAACUUGAAAUACCCCUUUACCUUUGACCGAGCCCUCGUAUAACAACAGUUAUUGUACCAGUAUCCAGACUGCACCAAUUGGAACCCUCUACAGUCAAAAGUACAGAUUCCCUUAUGUUGGACCGAGAUAGGAGUCACAUAGUUAGUCAAGAGUCGAUUACCCAGUAGUACCCUCACUGGUUCUGAAAUCAUCCGCGAAACCAUCGAGAAGAUCAUCCGGACCCGAGAUCGAUUGAAAGCUUCACUAGAUCGAUAGAAGAGUUACACCGGUAUACAACGGAAACCUCUGGAAUUCCAGGUUGGAGAUCGUGUCCUGUUAAUGGUCUCACCCUGGAAAGACACGAUACACUUUGGAAAGCAUGGAAAACUUAGCUUGUAGUACAUUAGAUCUUUCGAGAUCCUUGUUAGGAUCGAUCCCGUAACCUUUAAACUCCGAGUACCUUCAGAACUUAGCAACCUUCACCCUAUACCUUGUGUCUCUAUUCUUAAUGAAUACCUGUCUGAUAAAACCAUAGAAAUCUAUCCUGAUGUGACCAAGAACCAUGAUAUACCUAAACUUUCUGGACGAACAAACUAAGAUCAUAGACCAAGUAAUCAAACGUUUGAAACCGAGCCGCGUCUCGUUAGUGAAGGUUCGUUGGAAUGACAUGCGGAGACCUAAAAUCACUUGGGAUCAUGGAAGAUUCGAUGUAACAGAUAUAUCAGCACCUUUAUCCAUAAUUUGUACCUUAAUCUUUGAAUUUUGGGACGAAAUUCCCUCUAACGGGGGGAUAAUGUAACAACCUGAAAUUUGUUCCCUCGCCAUAACCGUUUCGUCAAUAAUUUAAGCCUUUUAUUUUGACCUCGUAAGUACCCAAACACAUUAGAAACACAAGUAAACACUUCAAACUAAUAAUUAUAAAAAUUUUAGUUUUGACCAUAUCGAGUUACGACAACUUAAUCGGGUGCGACCCAAUGCCUCGGUUAACGUCGGUAUCGGAUAAAAUUCCAUCGUGUCUCCAUUCCAAACCAUAUUUAAUAUUGUUUUAGACUCAUUUGAAGUCUUUUCACUCUCUCUCUAACCUCUCUCCUCAACUUAAACUUGUUGAUCCAAAAUCACUCAUUUCAAGCUUCAAAACACCAAGGUAACUAUCCUAGCUUCUAGUAUAACACUUCUAGCCUUCAAAUUCGAGUUUAAAUCAUGGAUUAGGACCAUUAUCAUGAGUUUACGGCCCUAGAACAGUCCUAGGCCAUGAACUCAUAUAAAAGGGGUUUUUGAGCCAUAAACCCUUCCAAACCUCAUUUGGAGCUUAGAUAUGACUUAGGGAAUUACCAAAUUGGACUUAAACACCUUGAACAUCAUUUUUGAGGAGUAAACAUGAGUUUACUGUCCAAGAACAUGCUUGGGCCGUAAACUCAUAUGCAUAGGGAGUAAACUCAUUUUAAUGUGUUAAGAUGCCACUUAAACACACCAUAAGCCUUGGAAUAAAUCCUAGAACCAACCAAAAUUGAUUUGGGGACCUUUAACUUGAUAAAAACCAUUCGUUUGAGAGUUUACGGCCAUAACCCCCCAAGGAUAGGUUCCAGGACCGUAAACUCCUAAACAUAAGUCAAAUGGUGCCCAAAAUUCAUCCUAAGGCUUGUAAAAAUUGUUUGAAUCGCAUGUGAUUGUCCUAGCAUCACCAAAUUACAUAAGAAUUGUGUGUGGGGGAGAUUACGGCUGUAAACUCCUAGUUUAGUGCUGUAAAAUCCAAUAAAUGGUCCAUUUGUGAGUUAAAACCCUUUCCAAUGCAUUAGACUCAAACCUAGAUUUAAUCCCCAAAUGUUUCAAGGCCAUUUUGCACCAUAAACCUCCCAUCCAUGAGUUCACGGCUGUGAACUCAUGUGAAUAUGGUGUUUAGGGCCAAAAACUCUUAUAAGAGUUUACUCUUGAAGAGUAAACUCCAUUCCUAAGCCAUACAAGUCCUUAGAUGUCACCCGGGUCACUCCAAACACUUGUUUUGAAGUGUUUUAGCUCAUUGGAGUGUAGUAUCCCAUCUAAUUAGUAUUUUUAAAUCUAAUUAGAUAUAUUUGGAUAUUAUUUCAUAUUACAUAGGAACCUCGCGUGUAAUCAAGCCCCGAACCAACGUUUAGUGUCCAAAACAGUUGCGUCUUCUCGUCUGGUGAGUUCAUACCCCUACCCUUUUUCAAUGGUUUUUCAAUGUUUUUCGGGGGGGGGGGGGAAUACAAGAAAAAGUACAAGAAUAUCUUGUGCUUAAAGAUUAUUAUUUUAUUUGAAAAGUUCCUUAUUUCACUUGCUUUUGACAAUUGAAAUCAUAUUAACCAACUGUUUGACUUGCAGAAUCAGUUACAAACCAAUUUCAUAACUUAUUAUAUAAUGUUAUAUUAUAUAUUUCACAAUUGAUUUGUUCCAUAUCAUUAUUGUUAGAAGGUUUAGAUUAGUACAUUCGUUUUGUCCUCGGUAACACUCCACAUAGUUACGUGAGUGGAGGAUCAUUUUUGUAAGUAGAAUUUAUACAGGACUUUUCCGCAUUAUGUAACAGCCCGAAAUUCCAGGUAUUGCUAUAUCUAUGAUUUUGGGUGUUUUAAGAGGGGACUCGGUGAGUUGGAGCCUAGACUCGCCGAGUAGGAUCGCGGAUCUGGUCGCGGGUUCGCGACUGGACUCGACGAGUCCGGAUAUGGACUCGGCGAGUCUGCGCUGUUUAGCGAAAACCCUAACCGUUCAGGUUUGGGACGUAUAUGAGGGACCUUAUGGCCGUCAUUGUUCACCCUAGUCCUCUGAGAGAAACCCUAAUUCGAUUGUGAGCAUCUGGAGCAAGGUAGAAGACCAUUGUUGAUUUUGGAAGUGUUGUUUUGCAAGGAAGAGGAGGCUUGGUCAAGGGAACCACAGGAGAAGCCACGUUCUGAGGAUUAGGGACACAGAGAGCACGUUAUUCAGUUAAUAUUUCGAGUUGCAUUCUUCUAUGUUGAUGUGUAUAUGGAUUUAGGGUUUAUUGAACCCUUUUGUGGCUAGAUUGAGUGUUACCUUAGUCCCCCAAACGAUUGGAACCCUGUAUUGGGGUCUUUGGAAGUCCAGAAUGUCCCAUGCCUGAGCAUUUCGGGAAUCAAUGGAGGUUUUGGAUUGGAAUCCUUAUUCCUUAGGUCAAAAUGUAAAUUAUGAGUCAUGGGGUGUAUUAUGAGCACCGAAAUGAGGACCUUACGUGAUGAAUCAGUCUAGGAAGGCCAGACCUAUGAAUGGUCGGAGCAGUUCUGACCUUAGAAAGCAGUUUGAGCGGUUGCAUGGCAUGGACUCGCCGAGUCCGAUGAACAGACUCGGCGAGUAGCUUGAAGAUUAACUGGGACUCGUCGAGUUGUUCUUCAGACUCGGCGAGUUGAGUCGGGGUGGCCCCGCGAUUCUUCCAGGAGAAACUCGUCGAGUCAAGGAGGAUACUCGACGAGUAGAAAGGGAAUCUUAGAGAAUUGGUGAGGACGUCUAGACUCGCCGAGUCGCCCUAGCACUCGCCGAGUCAGGUCAAGUUGACCGUUGACCGUUGACCAGAGUUGACCUAUGUUUGACUUCUUAGGGAUAGUCAAACUUAGAAGAUAAAAGUGUUAAUAAGAGAUGUAUGAUGUUAUAGGGAGAUUGUAGCUCGGCGGAUCGAGCACGAGUGACUUCGGGAUUUGUUAGCUUUCGACAUUCACGAGGUGAGUCUUCUCACUAUACUGUACCCGGAAGGGUUUGACUGUGUGACCGGAAGGUCGGAUAUGAUAUGUGAUAUAUGUGCUAUAUGUGAUAAGUUAAUUGUUAUGCGUGCUAUGUAUGUUUAUGUGGGCCGGAAGGCAAUAUGUUAUGGGCCGGAAGGCGAUUAUGUUAUGGGCCGGAAGGCGUUGUGUUGUGGACCGGAAGGUCGGCGUGGGUAGGACCGGAAGGUUUACCCAGCAGGGACGGAAGUCCCCUGAGACACAUGGACCGGAAGGUCAGGGCCUGGAAAGGCGUAUGUGCGUAAGUUGUAUUUUGGGGAACUCACUAAGCAUUUAUGCUUACAGUUGUUAUGUAUGUGUUUCAGGUACUAGCGAGGACCGUGGGAAGGCGCCGGCGUGAUAUGUACACACUGGAAGAUGUUUAGUGAUCUUGGGAUUUAGAUGAUUUGUAUUUUGACAUGACACUUGAAAUGUUUAUGCCUUGUUUUGAAUGAAAAUACUAUAUUUUGAAAUGAAAAAUUUGUUUGAAAAUUUACGGUGUUACAAAUUGGUAUCAGAGCCUUGGUUUGAGGGAUUCGGGUGCACCUUUGGGCGUAACUGAACUCAAACCGAGGAUUUGAGGAAAACUUUUGAAAUAAAAGGCAUAAAAUUUUGUAAAUAAUUUUGUGGUAAACAAGAAAGAAGCAGUGUGUACGAUCAGUCAGCGCCCGAACGGUAAAGAUCCCCAAAAUACCUUACAAUAUAAUGUUAAGACAUAAGAUAUGAUAUGAAUUGCUAUGCAUGCUAGAAGACUAGGUAUUCAUGAUAGGACUAGAGUGGCCUGAUUUAUGAUGCCUUAGUCUAGGGAAGUUUGCCGA